GUCCACGCCCUAAACGAUGGAUGCUAAGUGUUGGACUUCGGUUCAGUGCUUCAAGCUAACGCAUUAAGCAUCCCGCCUGAGGAGUACGGCCGCAAGGUUAAAACUCAAAUGAAUAGACGGGGACCCCGCACAAGCAGUGGAUCAUGUGGUUUAAUUCGACACUAAACGAGAAACCUCACCUAGGCUUGACAUUGAUAGAAAGAAGUAGAAAUAACAUCUGUGCCGCAAGGGAACUUGAAACAAGGUGCUGCAUGGUUGUCGU
RNAcentral lists this ribosomal RNA (262 nucleotides) under uncultured bacterium. RNAcentral describes it as "partial 16S ribosomal RNA". It matches the Rfam family "Bacterial small subunit ribosomal RNA", at positions 793 to 1055 of the family's 1533-position model. The record is from RNAcentral.